This 72-nucleotide transfer RNA is filed under the name Odocoileus virginianus texanus. It matches the Rfam family "tRNA". Rfam says of the family: Transfer RNA (tRNA) molecules are approximately 80 nucleotides in length. Their secondary structure includes four short double-helical elements and three loops (D, anti-codon, and T loops). Further hydrogen bonds mediate the characteristic L-shaped molecular structure. tRNAs have two regions of fundamental functional importance: the anti-codon, which is responsible for specific mRNA codon recognition, and the 3' end, to which the tRNAs corresponding amino acid is attached (by aminoacyl-tRNA synthetases). tRNAs cope with the degeneracy of the genetic code in two manners: having more than one tRNA (with a specific anti-codon) for a particular amino acid; and 'wobble' base-pairing, i.e. permitting non-standard base-pairing at the 3rd anti-codon position. RNAcentral also lists the same sequence under 1 other name. The record is from Rfam by way of RNAcentral. Lineage: Eukaryota; Metazoa; Chordata; Mammalia; Artiodactyla; Cervidae.
UCCUUGGUGGCUCAGACGGUAAAGCAUCUGCCUACAAUGCAGGAAACCCAGGUUCGAUUCCGGGGUCGGGAG